CCUACGGGUGGCAGCAGUGGGGGAUAUUGCACAAUGGGGGGAACCCUGAUGCAGCGACGCCGCGUGGGUGAAGAAGCGCUUCGGCGCGUAAAGCCCUGUCAGCAGGGAAGAAAAUGACGGUACCUGAAGAAGAAGCACCGGCUAACUACGUGCCAGCAGCCGCGGUAAUACGAAGGGGGCAAGCGUUAUCCGGAUUUACUGGGUGGAAAGGGGGCGCAGACGGCGGUGCAAGCCAGGAGUGAAAGCCCGGGGCCCAACCCCGGGAAUGCUCUUGGAACUGGGUGGCUGGAGUGCAGGAGGGGCAGGCGGAAUUCCUGGUGUAGCGGUGAAAUGCGUAGAUAUUAGAAAGAACACCAAUAGCGUAGGCAGGUUUCUGGGACGGUUCUGACACUGAGGCACGAAAGCGUAGGGAGCAAACGGGAUUAGAUACCCUAGUAGUC
Molecule: ribosomal RNA, 440 nt
Filed under: uncultured bacterium
Lineage: Bacteria
Description: partial 16S ribosomal RNA
Rfam family: Bacterial small subunit ribosomal RNA
Source: RNAcentral